This 5675-nucleotide long non-coding RNA is filed under the name Nicotiana tabacum (common tobacco). Its description in RNAcentral is "long non-coding RNA (NTAB_LNC002025)". Lineage: Eukaryota; Viridiplantae; Streptophyta; Magnoliopsida; Solanales; Solanaceae. The record is from RNAcentral.
CACUUUCUUUAAGCCCUGUUCCUAAUUUUACUCUUCUAUGUCACACAGCUUGUUUGUUUCUUGGGUCUCUCUGUGUAUAUAUCAUUUUUGCCUUCUCCAUUUUUCUUUGUUUGGUUUUUUCUUUGCUCAAUCACAUUCUUUUGAAAUCUUCAGUUUAUUUUGCUUCACUGCGUUCUGCCCGUUGCCGGUGAGUUUCGAUUCUAGUUUUUGAGUUUUGGGAUUUCUUUUAGUUGAUUUCUAUUUGAUUAAUUUGAUAUUCUUUCAGAUUUGUUGGUUUUUUCUGGUAUUUAGGUUAUAAUCAUUCUACAUGCAUCGAAUUUUCACUUUAUUGACAAUGUCAUCUCCAUGGUUAGCUUCUUUUACAACUUAAGUAUACCCUCUGUUGUGUCUAUUCUCCGUGGUUUUCCCUUUUUAUGGGUCUUUUGAUUAAAUUUUUAUUUUUUAAUUUUGGAUCUUUAUUCAGAUUUAGUGUUUCUUCUCUUUGUCCUUGACGUGGGUAUUUUCCCCAAAAAAAUUGUUGAUUCUCAUGUGUAUGCACUUACAUUUACUAUAAGGUGAAAGCAAACAAUUGCAAAAUAUAGUUACUAGGAAGCAGCAGCCGAAGUUUCAUAUCUCAAAAUUUGCUCUACCGGAAAAAUUGCCAUACAGUGUAGUGCGGGUAAUCUCAAGUUUAAUUUUAUGUUUUAAUCAUAUAUUGGAAUUAGCUGCUGCAUUUAAUUAUGUGUCUCAAUAUAUCUUAGAUUUUUUCAAGUACAUGGUUCUUAUUUUUCAAUAUACAUGUUGGUUCUGCUCUUUAGUCUUUUUAAAUUUUUGGGUGAAAAUAGUUGAUAUCUAUUAUUGUCGUCGUACUUCUAAACUUUUACCUGUUAUAAAGACAAAAAGACAAUAUAAUUUUUAGUUUGAUAAGGCUGACAUUGAUCUUUGUGACAUAGGGUCAGACGAACAACAAAUAAAUCUAUGAAUUAUAAUUAGUUUGAGAUAGAUUUUGAAGAUGUUGUACUCCAAGAAUGUGUAGAAAUAUGUAACUAAAAUAAAGAGAAAAAUAAUCAGCUUUAUUUCAUUUAGUAUAUUUAUGGUGUUACAUUUGGCCUAUUAAACACUACAGACAAACAGCUCCAUUUGCUUACUUUUUUACAACUUUGAUAAAACAGCAAAAGUUGAUUUAAGGCUAAGUCAGUUGAUUAUUAGGCGUUCCUACGAUGCGCAUGACAUGCAUAUGCUUACAAAUAUACAUGACUUAAUAUGGUACAAGACAAGCCAAAAAUGAUUCAACUCAUCAUCGUUUCAGCCUCCAUUCCAUCGGUUAAAACACCAUAGAAAAACUUAUGUCAGUCUUGUAUUUUUUUAAGAAAAAGAUGAUGUGAGUUGGUAUGUAUCACCACGUGGUCAGUUUAUGAAGAAAGGUAAUAAGUUAUAGUUUGAAUUACCUCGAUAAGUACGGUGGCCAUCAAAAGAUGUAUACACAAUUUACAAACUCAAUAUCGAGUUGCAAUUUGUUACAUACUUCCAGCUGAAUUUCUUUGACAAAUAAGACAAUAAAGGUAAGGUAAGUUGGUAUGAACAAUAUAAUUGAGUACAAAGAGUAUUUGUAUGCUGCUUAAACAAAUAAAACACAAAUAAGAAAAUUAUUGCACCAAAAAUGCACUAAUAUCGCCCAUUUACCCUGCAUCAGUUGCCCGUUAAAAAAGAGACGUCCUUUUACACGACAUCGAUUUGUUAUUUACUAAAUCCAGAAAAGAGGAGUUUUCUAUUAAGUCUUAUUCGUUUUGUUUCCAUUUUAUGUUGUUUUGCCAACCAAGAAGCCUAAAAUACUUUCUGAAACUUUUCAGGAAGCAAAGUAGCUACAUCACACGUAUGUAAAACCUUGCAGUAUAUUCUUGGAUAUAGUGGUCUCAAAACAAAAGGUACGUUUUUAUGGCUAUGAAUUCAUAAAAAGACAUCCGACAAGGUCAUCAACUAUUUGAAUUCUCAUUUAUCUAGAUGCAAAUAUAAAGUUUGCAACGUUUAAACAAGAGAUUGGAAUAAGCAUGUUUGGGGAGAGAAAAAGGAAUAAAUGAUCCAAGAGACCCCAUAUUCCUAUCUUGACAACUACUUUUCUGUUUAUUCAGUCAAUUACAGAUGACUACUCUGUUACAGGUAGACUACUGGACCAUAAAGUCAAACAGUCAAUAACUCGGCCUAGGAGUGUUUGAACUAGAGGAUCUUUUAUGAUCUACCAUCAGGAACUCAAUCCAAAAGUGUUUGAACUAGACUAUCUUUCUUGAUCUACCAUCUAACUUAAAAAAAAUUUCCUGAGUUUUUCUAUUUUUAAAAUAGGCAAAUAUGUGAUGAUUUUUUGCUUCAAAUGCUAUCGAUCCAAAAGAUAAAAUAUAUUAUGCUGGUAAUACAAGAAAAUAUGGUCAUUAAUGACACAAUAAUUAGUAUUUUUCUUCUUUUUAAAACAGAAAGUAUCAUUUUCCCUAUUUUAUAAAUUUAGUGUAAAUGCGACGAUUAAAGUCUCAUUCUAUUUUGGUGUUUUCUCCUGAGAGAUGAGUUUGACUUGAUUUUUCCUCAAAGAUUAAAGUGAGUUGCAUUUUUGAGGGAAAUACUUAUUCGAAUGAACAUAUUUUCUUGAAAAAUAAUUGUUUCUUGAGCGAAUUCUCGAUUUAGCUGAAGAGUUUAAUGGUGAGUUUGAUCUUCCCUUCAAAGAUGAAUCUUGAAGAGGCCGUGAUGAUAAUUGCUUUCCUGAGCUAUAAAAUUAUUUGAAAACAGAGACAAUCAAACCCUUAUAUAUCUUGGCAUGGUAAAACCACAAUAGUAUGUGAUUUGAGGCUUUUCUAUCACAUGCAAUAGUUUCUCGCCCUAUAAGAAAAAAAAUUGAGUCUCAAUUGUUUUCUUGUUAAGUUCUUGUUGGACUCUUAAAAAUAUAGACCUACGGAUUGCGAUUACUAUAUUUCAUCUGUGUGCAUUUUAGUAAAUGUUAAUUCCACCCUGGUGGAUAAGUCUUGAUGGUUGGAUAUUAUCAUUAUUUGAGGUUCUUACCUCUUUGUUUCUUUUCCAUCUACAAAUUACUUAGUUAGCCAUUGAGAAGCAUCUUAGUGAAAGGUGCAUUUUGCAUUAACUAGAUUGGUGUUUCUAGAUCUAUUAUCAAGUAGUCAUUGAGAAUAAGGUGAAACUAAAGUUUACAUAUCUGGAAAACGAGAAUUCACAACUAUUGCGGCUGGCGCAAUGCUACCGUGAUACCAGUAAGUAACAUUGAUUACCGAAGUCUUAUCGAUGUAUAUAUAAAGCAUUAGCGAUACCAUUCACAUUCAUAUAUUGUGAAAGUGUAUAUUCGUGAUUUAUAAUUUCUGGUGCACUGGAGAAGGUGAAUCAAUUCAUAUAUGAAGAUACCAACUCAAUAUCUUCUAUCAUUUAAAGAAAAUUUUGUUUUAUGUUGAGUGCACUAAUAUCAUACGACAUUGAAAGUUGGUUUAGUAUUGCUUAGAUCCAGGUUGUUCAUAGGUCCCCGUUUUUUUUUAAAUAUUCGUUCUCCGAUCUUUUACAGUGUUUGAGUUUAGAAGACCUUAGUUUAUAAAGGUUUUCUGUAAAAUUCUAUUUGUCCCAUUUAAAGCCAUUGAAAAGCAUAUAACAAGUGACAAGUGUCUGUUUAGUGAGAUCCUGGAAGAAUAAAAUGCUUCUCUAGCUUACAUAUAGGUAUAUCUUCUCUCUUGUGAUAAUUCUCUAUACCCCAUCUUUCAAGGAUGUGAGUAAUCAUUUUUCAAUUCGAGGUACUUAUCAAUUAGUUAAGGACUCUUCCUCAGACAGCAUCUUCCACUUUCAAUUCAGCAACAGUGAUAAUUCAAGAGACUGUAGAAGUAUGUCAUCUGUGUAUGAAGUUUUUCUUUAGAUUUUGUAAAGAUUCCAAUGUCAUAUUUGUAACUGUUGUAUCAAUAUCUCUCAACCAGGCAAGGUAAACGAUUCAGAGCUCCGAGAAAAAGCUAUUUAGAGGUUGGAAUAGUCGUUGAAAAUUAGAAUUGCUGCAAAUAGCUCAUCUCUCACAAUGUAUAUUUCAUAAUAUUUUGAAUAUCAUGUAGAACUUUUUUCCAGAAUGCAUGAAAAAACUGUGAAGUGUUAACAUGUUGUGCACAUUGAAUCAACUUGAUAGUAUUACUUCCUUUCUGGUGAUUAUACUAUACACUUUAAGCAAGUAUGAUUUUUUUUUGGUGUUGAAUUUUUUAAAUUAAUCUUGUAGAUGUGCCACAACCAAUGGUGUCGGGCAUAAGCCCGUGUGAUCCACGGGCACCGGCCAUCUAGUAUUGAUAUAAUUAAGUAAUUUGUGGCUAUAUACGAGCGAAUUGGUGGUGGAAUCAAGAGGUAAAGCGGUAGUUGAGGCAUGAAUUGUAUUCGUGGCAUCGAGGUAAGUGUUUGGUCUAACCUUAGCUUGAGAGAUUAGGAGUUGUGUCCUAUUUGCUAUGUGUUAUUUGUUGAGUACAACGUAUAGGCAUGGUAAUGAGUGUCUAUACGUUGGAGUCAAGCAUGCCCGUGAGUCUUACAUUAUGAUUAUUAUGACUCCGUUUGUAUUGUUCAUGCCCUUUUGUGAUGAUUUCGAUUGUUGAGCAAAGUUUGUGGGAGUAAUUGAGGUAUUUGAGUAUUAUAGAGCAUUGGUUCAUGUUGUAUAGUGAAUUGUGGAAGUAUUAUUGGCAAUUGAACCUUAUAGAGUAUUAGCUCAAGUUGUGAAGUGAAUUGUGAAGUAAAAGUGGAAAAAAAAAAUUAUUAUAUUGUCUCACUUGCCGGGAUGUUGUUGUUUUAAUGCUAUCUCCCUUGCCAGGAUGUUGAUGCUUUUGAUAUUGUUCCCUUGCCGGGAUUUGAUUGUUGUACUAUUGUUCCCUUGCUGAGAUCUUAUUGUGAUUUCAUUUAUUUCCUUGCCCCUAUUGNNNNNNNNNNNNNNNNNNNNNNGAUAUACAAUUCCAUGCCGAUUAUAUUGAUAUUAUGGUGAGGAUGAGAGUAAAAGCACGAAGGGUGAUGCCGUGCAGUUUAUAUUGAUUCUUAUGGUGAGGACGAGAGCAAAAGCACGAAGAGUGAUGUCGUGCACUUGUCUGAUUUCUGAUUCUUCUUGAUAAUUGAUAUAUGGAGUUCUUUGUAUUUACUUGUUGUCUUUCUAUUUUUAGUUGAUGGUUCCCCGCAACAUGUUUCUCCCUCCCAUCCUUAAUUGUACAUUCCUGCUUUUAUUUUUCGAUGUAUAUGAUUUAAUUGCACAUGUUUAUUUGGUAGUUUGGUCCCUAGCCUCGUCGCUACUUCGGGGAGGUUAGGCUAGACACUUACCAGCACAUGGGGUCGGUUGUGCUGAUACUACAUUCUGCAUUGUGUGCAGUUCCCAGUGCAACAGCUUUUGGACCUUAGCUUGGGUGGCUGCCUUUAGUCCAUUCGGAGAUUCCGAGGUAGUCAUGUAGGCGUCCGCAGGCCUUGGAGUCUUUUCCUGUCCCUUUUAUUCUGUUUCUUUUACGUACUUCCGAAACAUUAUUGUAAUAAAUCUUUCGGACCUUUAUUUGUAGAAUUCCUAGAAAGUUUGUGGAUUUGUGGCACCAGUCUAGGGUAGUUCAUGUAUGGAUUGGCGUUGGUAUCUUUAUUAAAAUAUUAUUAUAGUCUUUCGCUUAUAAAUUUCGUUGUUUUAUCUAAUGUUGGCUAUUAAUUAUUAAAGGAUUAAAUGGGAAAAA